Non-coding RNA from Vicia faba (fava bean), 207 nucleotides. Lineage: Eukaryota; Viridiplantae; Streptophyta; Magnoliopsida; Fabales; Fabaceae. The record is from the annotation of a GenBank genome assembly.
AUGUUCUCGCGCAGCGGAGGCCUCGCCAUUCACCAUCAUCAGCUUCGUCCAAACUCCCUCAUUCCUCUUCUCUCUUAUUCUGUCGUUCACCUUCUCAUCCUCCGAUUCUGUCUCAGUCAUUUUUCAAUCGCGGCUACAGCUAUUUACGAGUCACCUAACAAGUCCGGCGCGUGUUCAAAACUCAGGUACGGUGAAGAUGAAAGAUGA